GAACCGGGGGAACUGAAACAUCUAAGUACCCCGAGGAAAAGAAAUCAACCGAGAUUCCCCCAGUAGCGGCGAGCGAACGGGGAGGAGCCCAGAGUCUGAAUCAGUGUGUGUGUUAGUGGAAGCGUCUGGAAAGGCGCGCGAUACAGGGUGACAGCCCCGUACACAAAAAUGCACAUAUUGUGAGCUCGAUGAGUAGGGCGGGACACGUGGUAUCCUGUCUGAAUAUGGGGGGACCAUCCUCCAAGGCUAAAUACUCCUGACUGACCGAUAGUGAACCAGUACCGUGAGGGAAAGGCGAAAAGAACCCCGGCGAGGGGAGUGAAAAAGAACCUGAAACCGUGUACGUACAAGCAGUGGGAGCCUCUUAAUGGGGUGACUGCGUACCUUUUGUAUAAUGGGUCAGCGACUUAUAUUCUGUAGCAAGGUUAACCGAAUAGGGGAGCCGAAGGGAAACCGAGUCUUAACUGGGCGUUAAGUUGCAGGGUAUAGACCCGAAACCCGGUGAUCUAGCCAUGGGCAGGUUGAAGGUUGGGUAACACUAACUGGAGGACCGAACCGACUAAUGUUGAAAAAUUAGCGGAUGACUUGUGGCUGGGGGUGAAAGGCCAAUCAAACCGGGAGAUAGCUGGUUCUCCCCGAAAGCUAUUUAGGUAGCGCCUCGUGAAUUCAUCUCCGGGGGUAGAGCACUGUUUCGGCAAGGGGGUCAUCCCGACUUACCAACCCGAUGCAAACUGCGAAUACCGGAGAAUGUUAUCACGGGAGACACACGGCGGGUGCUAACGUCCGUCGUGAAGAGGGAAACAACCCAGACCGCCAGCUAAGGUCCCAAAGUCAUGGUUAAGUGGGAAACGAUGUGGGAAGGCCCAGACAGCCAGGAUGUUGGCUUAGAAGCAGCCAUCAUUUAAAGAAAGCGUAAUAGCUCACUGGUCGAGUCGGCCUGCGCGGAAGAUGUAACGGGGCUAAACCAUGCACCGAAGCUGCGGCAGCGACACUAUGUGUUGUUGGGUA
Molecule: ribosomal RNA, 1008 nt
Filed under: Escherichia coli
Lineage: Bacteria; Pseudomonadati; Pseudomonadota; Gammaproteobacteria; Enterobacterales; Enterobacteriaceae
Description: partial 23S ribosomal RNA
Rfam family: Bacterial large subunit ribosomal RNA
Source: RNAcentral